GGACGAAAACAUGUGCCCUGUUCUAUGGUUUAGAGAAAUGGAAGGGUGAGACAGAAGGCAUGUUAGUACACAGGUAAUGUUGGUGGACCUGAUGAAAUGUAUGAAAAAUAACACCAUGACAUAUUGCUGUAGUCAUCAUAUGGUAUUUCAAAAAGUAUAACUACAUAGAAGCAUCAUCAUACCCAAGUGUCAGAAAUUAGUUUUACUAAUUUGAUAGCAGUGCCUCUAUCAGAAUCUGACAUAUAUAUAGUUGUGUAUUCCAUACAAGUUUUACCUAGAUGGUGAUAUACGAUGACAUAGAAGACACAUACUGAUAUACAUACAUCCUUAUCACAUGUGUGUAUAAAUAUAUAUGUAUAAUUCAUCCAAAUAUACUGCUUAGACUGGCAUAAAAUGUCACAUUUCAGGAGACCAUAGAAAAGAUAAGUAAUAUGAAAUAAUACAAUUUAAUUAUGAGCAAACUUACACAAAUUUUAGCAAAUGAACCUUUGCAUUCAUAUAAACUGUUAUCCCUGUAAAAUUUAGCUCAUUCUGCUUUUGGCUUCCAGCAUUUUGUCACAGUAAUAAUCAUAGACAGUCUUACAGAUCCAAUGCAAGUGCUCACACCAAAGACAGAAAGGUGGUAGGAAAAGGUACUUUCAAUAUUUUUAGCAAACUAAAGUCUAUUUGAUUCCAUGAUAAUCAGCAAUAUCACAGUAGUUGAAGCAACUCAAUGUAAAUUUCAAGGAGUUUCAAAGGGUAAGUUAAGCACAACUCAC
This 758-nucleotide long non-coding RNA is filed under the name Musa acuminata (dwarf banana). RNAcentral describes it as "long non-coding RNA (MACU_LNC008047)". Lineage: Eukaryota; Viridiplantae; Streptophyta; Magnoliopsida; Zingiberales; Musaceae. The record is from RNAcentral.